RNAcentral lists this ribosomal RNA (367 nucleotides) under uncultured bacterium. RNAcentral's name for it is "bacterial SSU rRNA". It matches the Rfam family "Bacterial small subunit ribosomal RNA", at positions 28 to 389 of the family's 1533-position model. The record is from RNAcentral.
GACGAACGCUGGCGGCGUGCCUAACACAUGCAAGUGGAGCGACGAACCAGGCUUCGGCCUGGGGCAAAGCCGCGAACGGGUGAGUAACACGUGGGUAACCUGCCCUGAUGAUUGGGACAACCCGAGGAAACUCGGGCUAAUACCGAAUGUGCCCUCCGGCCUCAAGGCCGCUGGGGAAAGGAAGCUUCGGCCUCCGCAUCGGGAUGGGCCCGCGGCCCAUUAGCUUGUUGGUGAGGUAACGGCUCACCAAGGCGACGAUGGGUAGCUGGUCUGGAGGACGAUCAGCCACACUGGGACUGAGACACGGCCCAGGCUCCUACGGGAGGCAGCAGUGGGGAAUCUUGCGCAAUGCGCGAAAGCGUGACGC